GAUUCUGGGCGUAAGCGCACGCAGGCGGUCUGUCAAGUCGGAUGUGAAAUCCCCGGGCUCACCCUGGGAACUGCAUUCGAAACUGGCAGGCUAGAGUCUUGUAGCCUGGGGUAGAAUUCCAGGUGUAGCGGUGAAAUGCGUAGAGAUCUGGAGGAAUACCGGUGGCGAAGGCGGCCCCCUGGACCAAGACUGACGCUCAGGUGCGAAAGCGUGGGGAGCAAACAGGAUUAGAUACCCUGGUAGUCCACGCCGUAAACGAUGUCGACUUGGAGGUUGUGCCCUUGAGGCGUGGCUUCCGGAGCUAACGCGUUAAGUCGACCGCCUGGGGAGUACGGCCGCAAGGUUAAAACUCAAAUGAAUUGACGGGGGCCCGCACAAGCGGUGGAGCAUGUGGUUUAAUUCGAUGCAACGCGAAGAACCUUACCUACUCUUGACAUCCAGAGAACUUUCCAGAGAUGGAUUGGUGCCUUCGGGAACUCUGAGACAGGUGCUGCAUGGCUGUCGUCAGCUCGUGUUGUGAAAUGUUGGGUUAAGUCCCGCAACGAGCGCAACCCUUAUCCUUUGUUGCCAGCGGUUAGGCCGGGAACUCAAAGGAGACUGCCAGUGAUAAACUGGAGGAAGGUGGGGAUGA
RNAcentral lists this ribosomal RNA (631 nucleotides) under Enterobacter hormaechei. Its description in RNAcentral is "bacterial SSU rRNA". It matches the Rfam family "Bacterial small subunit ribosomal RNA", at positions 547 to 1182 of the family's 1533-position model. Lineage: Bacteria; Pseudomonadati; Pseudomonadota; Gammaproteobacteria; Enterobacterales; Enterobacteriaceae. The record is from RNAcentral.